GCUAACAUCAUUAUCAUAUGUGUAAUAAUACUAAAGCUUCAUCUUGUGCACCCACAAAAAACAAAUAUGGCUUCUUCGUGCAGGUUUCUGUGGUAUGUUCAUUUAUGCUUCACAAUGAAAAAAAAACAAAAACAAAACAAAAAAAAACCCAGCAAAUUUCUUGCUUCUCAGCCACUGUGGCCACAUCCUCACCGUUUAUUUGGGCAGUUCUAUAAACAUACUGUGAGUGAGUCAUAAGUUUAAAUACAAUAGUUGAAGGAACAAAAAAAAAAAAAAAAAAAAAAAAUAUGAAUGUUUAAAAAUACCAGUCAAAUCUGAUUAAAGUAAAUAAAUAAUAAGUACACAAUGUAGUUUUAAGACUUAUCUCAAAGUUCCAUAACAUUAAUGUUCUAUGAACUCAUGAGUCCAGAAAUCUGAACGUCAUGAAAAGUAUUCAUUAUUAGUGUAUUAUUAUUUUUGUUAAUAAAAAGUAUGAGCCGUACAAGUAUGUUUAUAGAACUGCCCAAAUAAAUGGUGAGGAUGUGGCCA
This is a long non-coding RNA of Oreochromis aureus, 528 nucleotides long. NCBI's taxonomy places the organism in Eukaryota, Metazoa, Chordata, Actinopteri, Cichliformes, Cichlidae. The record is from Ensembl.